RNAcentral lists this small RNA (700 nucleotides) under Pongo abelii (Sumatran orangutan). RNAcentral's name for it is "retained intron". Lineage: Eukaryota; Metazoa; Chordata; Mammalia; Primates; Hominidae. The record is from RNAcentral.
UCCCGAGUCCUCAACUCCAAACCGCGAUUAGUAGGAGGCCUCUGGUCCCUGCCUGCCCUGGGUGCUCAUGGAACCAGCUGCUGCUCUGCACUUCUCCCUGCCAGCCUCCCUCCUCCUCCUCCUGCUCCUCCUCCUCAGCCUGUGUGCACUGGUCUCAGCCCAGUUUACUGUCGUGGGGCCAGCUAAUCCCAUCCUGGCCAUGGUGGGAGAAAACACUACAUUACGCUGCCAUUUGUCACCCGAGAAAAAUGCUGAGGACAUGGAGGUGCGGUGGUUCCGGUCUCAGUUCUCCCCUGCAGUGUUUGUGUAUAAAGAUGGGAGAGAGAGAACAGAGGAGCAGAUGGAGCAGUACCGGGGAAGAAUCACCUUUGUGAGCAAAGACAUCAGCAGGGGCAGCGUGGCCCUGGUCAUACACAACGUCACAGCCCAGGAGAAUGGCAUCUACCGCUGUUACUUCCAAGAAAGCAGAUCCUACGAUGAGGCCAUCCUACGCCUCAUGGUGGCAGGUGUGUCACUUCAUUUUGCUUUAUUACUUUUGCACAGUGUGACUUUUGGGGAAAGUUUCUCCCUUAACAUCAGGCCCAUUGCAGACCAAUGGAUUUCUAUCUGGCGUCCCCUUUCCACAGAGAGAGUGGCCUCCUCUUGCACAAAGGCCACAUGAGUGGGUUUGCCCUGCUAAGCUAUGGGUUUCAUUUCUUUU